UACGCAGGGGGCUAGCGUUGUUCGGAUUUACUGGGCGUAAAGCGCACGUGGGCGGGUUGUUAAGUCAGGGGUGAAAUCCUGGAGCUCAACUCCAGAACUGCCUUUGAUACUGGCAACCUAGAGGCUGGAAGAGGUUAGUGGAAUUCCCAGUGUAGAGGUGAAAUUCGUAGAUAUUGGGAAGAACACCAGUGGCGAAGGCGGCUAACUGGUCCAGAUCUGACGCUGAGGUGCGAAAGCGUGGGGAGCAAACAGG
RNAcentral lists this ribosomal RNA (253 nucleotides) under uncultured bacterium. RNAcentral describes it as "partial 16S ribosomal RNA". It matches the Rfam family "Bacterial small subunit ribosomal RNA", at positions 524 to 776 of the family's 1533-position model. The record is from RNAcentral.